Molecule: ribosomal RNA, 748 nt
Filed under: Bacillus subtilis
Lineage: Bacteria; Bacillati; Bacillota; Bacilli; Caryophanales; Bacillaceae
Description: bacterial SSU rRNA
Rfam family: Bacterial small subunit ribosomal RNA
Source: RNAcentral
GUGGGUAACCUGCCUGUAAGACUGGGAUAACUCCGGGAAACCGGGGCUAAUACCGGAUGGUUGUUUGAACCGCAUGGUUCAAACAUAAAAGGUGGCUUCGGCUACCACUUACAGAUGGACCCGCGGCGCAUUAGCUAGUUGGUGAGGUAACGGCUCACCAAGGCAACGAUGCGUAGCCGACCUGAGAGGGUGAUCGGCCACACUGGGACUGAGACACGGCCCAGACUCCUACGGGAGGCAGCAGUAGGGAAUCUUCCGCAAUGGACGAAAGUCUGACGGAGCAACGCCGCGUGAGUGAUGAAGGUUUUCGGAUCGUAAAGCUCUGUUGUUAGGGAAGAACAAGUACCGUUCGAAUAGGGCGGUACCUUGACGGUACCUAACCAGAAAGCCACGGCUAACUACGUGCCAGCAGCCGCGGUAAUACGUAGGUGGCAAGCGUUGUCCGGAAUUAUUGGGCGUAAAGGGCUCGCAGGCGGUUUCUUAAGUCUGAUGUGAAAGCCCCCGGCUCAACCGGGGAGGGUCAUUGGAAACUGGGGGAACUUGAGUGCAGAAGAGGAGAGUGGAAUUCCACGUGUAGCGGUGAAAUGCGUAGAGAUGUGGAGGAACACCAGUGGCGAAGGCGACUCUCUGGUCUGUAACUGACGCUGAGGAGCGAAAGCGUGGGGAGCGAACAGGAUUAGAUACCCGUGGUAGUCCACGCCGUAAACGAUGAGUGCUAAGUGUUAGGGGGUUUCCGCCCCCUUAGUGC